AAACAUGACGGCUACAAUUUGCAGAGUAAUUAAGAGGCUGAUGUUGCGUAUACUUGACGAAAGCACUUGCAGGUGCUUGGACGGUUGGCAUCCCAAAUUGUUGUGAGCUUCAAGGUAAUGACAAGCCAAUCUAUGCACCUCCAGUGGAAAAUGGAGA
Long non-coding RNA from Lolium rigidum, 157 nucleotides. RefSeq lists it as uncharacterized. The transcript is spliced from 3 exons. Lineage: Eukaryota; Viridiplantae; Streptophyta; Magnoliopsida; Poales; Poaceae. The record is from RefSeq and is a predicted model, not a curated record.